This is a long non-coding RNA of Bos indicus x Bos taurus (hybrid cattle), 256 nucleotides long. The record is from Ensembl. Lineage: Eukaryota; Metazoa; Chordata; Mammalia; Artiodactyla; Bovidae.
CGGUCCGUCCCCAGGCGCUGCUUCCGGCCAACUGAUCCUCUCCCGCCUCAGAAGAGCGCAAGCUAUUAUUUCACACGGAUUUAUUGCUGAGCAACCUCGCGCGGAAGAGAAGCGGCUCCUGCAGGGACCGUAUCACUCUUGCUGGUGAAUGGAAGAGAUGAAAAGAUUGGAAGCAACUUCAAGGAAAGAAAACCUGUCUUCAUCCAGUUGUGGGAGAGAUAUUUCCUGCUCUUUGCUAUGCCUUAUCUUAUAAAAC